AGUGAAGCGGCAACAGCUCAAAUUUGAAAUCUGGUCCCCUCUGGGGGCCCGAGUUGUAAUUUGAAGAGGAUGCUUUUGGCGAGGCGCCUUCCGAGUGCCCUGGAACGGGACGCCACAGAGGGUGAGAGCCCCGUAUGGUAGGACGCCGAGCCUCUGUAAAGCUCCUUCGACGAGUCGAGUAGUUUGGGAAUGCUGCUCAAAAUGGGAGGUAAACCCCUUCUAAAGCUAAAUAUUGGCCAGAGACCGAUAGCGCACAAGUAGAGUGAUCGAAAGAUGAAAAGCACUUUGAAAAGAGAGUUAAACAGCACGUGAAAUUGUUGAAAGGGAAGCGCUUGCGACCAGACUUGCGCCCGUCGGAUCAACCGUCCCUCGUGGGCGGCGCACUCCGGCGGGCUCAGGCCAGCAUCAGUUUUCCCGGGGGGAGAAAGGCGGUGGGAAUGUGGCUCUUCGGAGUGUUAUAGCCCGCCGCGUAAUGCCCUCGGGGGGACUGAGGACCGCGCGUAUGCAAGGAUGCUGGCGUAAUGGUCGUCAGCGACCCGUCUUGAAACACGGACCAAGGAGUCGUCCUAAUAUGCGAGUGUACGGGUGUAAAACCCCUGCGCGUAAUGAAAGUGAACGGAGGUGAGAGCUUCGGCGCAUCAUCGACCGAUCCUGAUGUUCUCGGAUGGAUUUGAGUAAGAGCAUAUUGGGCCGGACCCGAAAGAAGGUGAACUAUGCCUGUAUAGGGUGAAGCCAGAGGAAACUCUGGUGGAGGCUCGCAGCGGUUCUGACGUGCAAAUCGAUCGUCAAAUAUGGGCA
RNAcentral lists this ribosomal RNA (798 nucleotides) under Cephalotrichum sp. HGUP1710. RNAcentral's name for it is "partial large subunit ribosomal RNA". It matches the Rfam family "Eukaryotic large subunit ribosomal RNA", at positions 92 to 917 of the family's 3401-position model. The record is from RNAcentral. Lineage: Eukaryota; Fungi; Ascomycota; Sordariomycetes; Microascales; Microascaceae.